GCCCUCUGUCGGUAUUAACCAGGUAGAGAGGGACAACUAUGACCUCGGGCUGGGCUGGGCUGGAAAUGGCAUCCUGUAGGAAAUAAGGGGGUGGUUAUGUAAAGGGGUACAGCAGGGAAGAAGGAAUUCCUUAUUUAAACAGUCAAGAGUGGACAUGCAAUGAUGUACUGUGAGAAAUAUUUAAUCGGUGCCCUUUCCUCAGAGUCCAUGAGACAGUCAGUGCUAGCCAGCUGGCCUCCUGACAUUCUGUGACACAGAGGGAACCCCGUCCAAGUUUACUUUCCAUCCAUCUAUUUUUAACUCCUUUUAACACUUUAGAGAGAGAACAAGAGAACAGGCAGGCAGGCUGUGUUUAACCCCCAAACCGCUAGCAGAGCCUGAAAGCUUGGGAGUCAAUACGAUCUCUUUGGCACCUGGUUAUAAAACACAUACGACAGAAUAUCUCAUCAUACUCAUAGCGUACAGGUCCCACGCUCCAGCAUACUUACGUAUUUACAGAAAACAGAGGGGGGAGACACACAGAGAGGACGGUGCUGAGAUGUUUAGAGAGGAUUUGGGAGUCGAGCUACAGCAACAUUAACGAGGAAAGGGAGGGCAGGGCGCCCCAGAAAACAAUCGAGCUGCUCACAUGAGCUUCGAAAGAGACCAUGGAGAAGACACACAAACAUUCCUAAUUCCUUGCCUUGGCUGGAUAACACGGCUGCAAAAGGAAAUGGAGAACCGGAAGAAUCAUCCUGAGUUGUGUUCAGAGACAGAUGUUUUCAGCGAAUCGCUAGGACCUAGUGCUCUAUUCCACUCUGUAACACGGCAAAUUAAUGCUCACCAAGAAGAGAACGCUAAGGACUUAGAAUUCACGUGCUUCUCAGAGGAAAUGGUUUGAUGGAACUAAUUAUUAGAAGGAAGACAGGCGUGAGAUGAAAAGCAUCCAUUUUUGAUGUAUCUAGAACAUAGGGAACAGGCAAUAAAGCAUUUGACUGGCCGACGGGACUGGACUGGGCCUGGUUUCACAAAUCCCAGCCCAUCUCCUCUUCCCAUCCAGCCCACCAGGGAAAGAUGCUCUUGGUCUAAGCCCAAGAAAACUACAGUGCUCAUCUUAUUCCUCUCCCUCAACACGGCUCUGAGCUCCUCCUCCUCAGGUCUCAGUGGGGCAGAGGGUCAGGAAACGGGGUAAAGCUCCAGAUGUCCUCACUUCAAGGAGAGCCCAUCUGUCAACCUGCAGCUCAACUGGGAAUGAGUGAGGACACAGGGAGAAGGCAGCUGUCUACCUGCCAGGAAGACAGCCUUAGCCAGGAACCCAAUGGACCAGCCCCUUGACUUUGGACUUCCCAGCCUCCAGAACUAUGAGAAAUGAAUGUCUGUUGAUUGAGCCACCUGUCUUUGAUAUUUUAUUAUAGCAGCCUAGGCUAAGACACCUAGAUUUUCUUCACAAGUCCCCAUCUUUUUUUUUUUUUU
This is a long non-coding RNA of Phacochoerus africanus (Common warthog), 1452 nucleotides long. RefSeq lists it as uncharacterized. The transcript is spliced from 3 exons. NCBI's taxonomy places the organism in Eukaryota, Metazoa, Chordata, Mammalia, Artiodactyla, Suidae. The record is from RefSeq and is a predicted model, not a curated record.